RNAcentral lists this ribosomal RNA (253 nucleotides) under uncultured bacterium. Its description in RNAcentral is "partial 16S ribosomal RNA". It matches the Rfam family "Bacterial small subunit ribosomal RNA", at positions 524 to 776 of the family's 1533-position model. The record is from RNAcentral.
UACGAGAGGUCCAAGCGUUAGUCGGAAUCACUGGGCUUAAAGGGUGCGUAGGCGGGCUUGUAAGUGUCUUGUGAAAUCCCAUGGCUCAACCAUGGAACUGCAGGGCAUACUGCAAGCCUUGAGGAAUCUAGAGGCCGGCAGAACGAUAGGUGGAGCGGUGGAAUGCGUAGAUAUCUAUCGGAAUGCCAAAGGUGAAGACAGCCGGCUGGGGAUUUCCUGACGCUGAGGCACGAAAGCGUGGGGAUCAAACAGG